This 782-nucleotide long non-coding RNA is filed under the name Lonchura striata (white-rumped munia). RNAcentral's name for it is "domestica (Bengalese finch) lncRNA (ENSLSDG00000012367.1)". Lineage: Eukaryota; Metazoa; Chordata; Aves; Passeriformes; Estrildidae. The record is from RNAcentral.
AGAUCUGCCUGAAGCCACAUACCAUGGCUUCUCACAGCAUAACUUGGACCUCCUCUGAUCAGUACAUAAACAUUUUGGUUGGGGAAAAAUAUCCAAAACUUCAGAGAUUUCUAUCUGUGUUGGGGAAAUUGAAAUGACAGAUUUUUUGCUUUAUUGAUUCUGCUGUGGUGAGAAGUGCUUCUAGAAUCUAACACACAACACAGGUUUUGUUUUGUCUUUCUCUUUUUAAAAUUACUUAGUUGCAGAGGAUGACUGAAGGAAUGCAAAUUAAUCGAAACAAGCUAUACUGCAGGUGGCUUAAUGUGCCCAUAGGCUCCUUUUUGAGGAGUGGGAGCUAAUAAAGUUUGUGUGAAAACCAAGAGGAGACGCCCUGCUCCCUUUGGGAUCACGCCGUGCUGCUCGGUACGGACAGUCGGGCACAGAACAUUGGCAUGGAACGUGCCCCUGGAACUGGAGCUACUUGGCCUGCUAAAGACAAAAAAAGCGAACGGCAGGAGAACUGAAAUGAGAUGUGGACGCAGAAGAAGCAAACAGCAGCACAGGGCUGGGAGAGCAGCUUUCAAAGGCUGAGUCUGCAGUUGGGGGAAUGAAGGUGCCAAGUCAGUAACCUUUUAUGUCAUGGCAUGAACUGUAAUGAGUCAAGGCUCUGUCAGGGGAGGGCAAACUGAGCAGCUCUGCCAGGCUUCCAGCCACUUUUGGCUAUGGCAGCUUUUAGGAGAGCAGCUGACAAAUCAUCCCAGUGCUGUGGUGGGGUAAUAAGAGAGGCUCACUGGGUUUGAAGC